AGUGCUGCCACCCUAGUAAUCCAGUGUCCUGGCAUUGAACCCAGUGCCCAGUUAUUAUGUGCGUGGAGCCCGUGUGUUCUCCUUGUGUUUCUGUGCGAUCCUCCGCUUAUCUAAACUGGCCUUGGGGAGCACCAGUGGACCCUGAGAUGACCUGGCACUCCACACCACACAGGCUUGGUUUGGGCGUUGUGCCCAAUGCUGAGAAGUUGACCCUGAAUUGGAUGUCACCUGAGAAGUUAUAUUUGUUUUAGAAUAUGAUGCAAUUUACUGAAAUAGUUUCUCAUUAAUAGGGUUAGUAGUCCAAAUGUGUGUGAAGCGGACACCUCAAAGUGAAGAGAAGACCUUGCCAGUGUGUGUUGGCAUCCAGGAGGACAAGAAUGUUUGCCAGUCUGCAGGAUGGUGUCCACCGGUGCAAAGGAGCAGUUUGAACCCCCACGUCUACGCCAGUCUGCGGUGGCGGAGGAGUUAACUACUCAGGGGGAUGUCGCGCAAUCCUAGGAGACAACGGGCACCGUGCUGUCCCACCAUUGAUGGAUUACACCACGACCAGCAUCAUCUCAUUCUGCCAUGUGAAGCCUGAAAGCCCUGAGGACUGACAGAUCACUGAUGUGAGGCAUGUGGUACGUGUGACCGUUCUAACACAGAUGUUGGGAACAGGAAAAGGCAAGAUAAAGGAGCAGGGGGACCCUCCAUUACCCACCAGCACGGACAAUCUCGCUCAAAUCUCCAAAUGGUAAUCAGCUGCUCUAACACCACCAAAGGGGAAGACCCCCUCAUAAGAUGAGCACCAAAGGGGACCCUGUGAAACAUAACAUGAAUUAUGAAAACCGUCAAAGCGGAGAGUGAGCUCCGUGUUCUGAUUGGUGAAUCGGCAGCAGAGGGGACAUGCAACUUCAAACACGUCUGUGAGCCGCAGGAUCCCCAAAGCAAGCGAAGUUGAGACUGGGUGGGCCUGUGGCUGACCUGAGUGCAAGGGAACGUCACCCAAAAUUACCGCACAAAAAAAGGGGGCUACUUUAAUUAUGGAGGCCCAAUUGGGAGUCUGCAUCAGACGUAUCUGUCGGCAUAUAAAUGGAGCGCUUGAUGGCCAAAGGCUUAUGGACCAAUCACAACACAUAAUUUCACUAGUGUGACAUCAGCAAACUGAGGAGGAAUCUUUGACAGCACAGGAGACAGACGUGGGAAAGAAAUAAGACGCCAUCAUCAGAGUUUGUAAAAAGGUCAAAGCCACCAAUUUGAAACAAGAAAACUCCAAAGGACAGGAUAUCAGAAAAACGUUUAACCCAUCGUGUCGAUUAUCUGUGGGUCAUGACCUCUGAGGACACGCCCCCAACACUGCAACUGCACUGUCCGAACACUGAAUAUCCAAAAUGGCGGCGAUUGUUAAAUUAAAGGAUUGUGGCCCUAAAUACAUCAAAAAUGCAGUACAAUUAAAUGAAAAUUAAACAUCAGAAAUGAAUUCAACAACAUCAGAAGCCCCCAAAACAAGAGUUGGAUCACACAAACUGAUUGAAUUAUGUGAUGUGUCUGAAAUGAGGGGGACAUGGACUGAGUGACCAGGCGAGGAGGUGUGCCUCAUGGGCCGUCGGAAGGCCACUUUAGGUCAGUCGCAGUAUAAAAUGGCGCUACCCACUGACCAGAAACCACGGAACAAGGCAGCGCCGGGACAUUCGCUCGUCCAUAUUUCUGUCUUUAUUUUUGUACGUCUUUAAAAUGCAAAUAAUAAGCUGCAGUUCAUCUGAAGCCGAGUGUUCAUAUUGGUUUUACUUUAUUGCUUCUUCCCCCACAGUAAUGAGCAGCCGCGAUAUUAAAACCUCGACUUUAUGCUGGUAAACGCACAACUGCAGAUGCUACGCUUUUUUCCGUUUUCUUUUCUUAUUUUGCCUCUUCCAGUCCGUUACAUCCAGGAACCGUCCCUGUCAAACAGACCCCUUGUAUUUUGACAAAGAAUGGAUUUUAUGCCAGCAGCCGUGCUGUUGGCGUAGAAGAUUAAUAAUACAUUGAAUCUUUAAGGUCUAGCAGGGAGCAGCGGCUCUUACUGCCGCUGUUUACUUGCACUUCAGCUGGAGCACCGUCGGCUCACGAGGGCUUCUGGGAAGCAAUUGACAGCUAACUAUUUCAGAGACAGUCAAGAAGAUAUGAGCAUUUGAUCAAAUGUUAUUGCUGUGCCUCAAAUUGGAAGUAAUGUCAUUAGGAGGGCCCAUGUGUCUGCAAGCCAGUCAAGUCUACGGUCCCCACAAACUAAUGACACAAGACUCUGCUGAGCUCCCUGUGCUGCACACUUCCAAAUUAAACUGCCAUACAAAAAAUAAAACAACUUUGUCCUCAGUGCACACCGAAGGAGGCGACUCCACAGUAAGCAGGGUGCUCUUCUUGUUUGGCCGUAAUUGAAAGCAGAGCCUGAACACAUUUUUAUUGCGGAGGCUUUGACUAAACUGCAUGUGGCCCUGGUACAGGGUUUGAUCGAUGAGUCGAUGAUUAAUGAUUUCAAAUGUUAAAUUACGUAACAGCCAGCUCAACUGUACGGUGGCAAAUGAACUUGAUUGCUCAGUUAACCCGUUUCGUUUUCUUUAUUAAUAACAAUCAUGAGCCACAACAAACUCCUUUCAGCAUUACGUUAAGGAAGAACUCUGUUAUGAGCCUGGCAUCAAGUGCGUAGCACAAGUCAGCAAAAUGUGGAAUUCUGAACGGCGUUACACCGUCCCACCACCUCCUAGCCAAUCAGAAACCACUUUCAGCACUGAGUACAGCAUUAGUGUACCAUCCACUGAGAGUCAGGACACGAGAAAGAACAAAGUCGAAAAACAAAAGUCAAAAAGCGGAAGGCAAAACGGACCAUCGGAACUCGAGGGGCAUCAGCAUGAAUACACAAAAAUCCGACAGAGAAAGAGUCCCAGCGUAACGUAGGAAACGAUUCAAAUCACAGGUACGUCGGAGCAGUCUCGAUGAACUUUAAAUGGUCGCGCCAAAGACAACAUCGCCGUGUCAUCCUGAUGCAUCCAGGAAUACGACGUCAAGGAAACGGCCAACAUGAAGCCCGCAACAGACCAGCGCCUAUGGACAAAAGAAAAAGACAAACAAGACUGAAAUGAAAAGCUCCCAUCAAAUCACGUCCGCCACUGCCAAACACAAAAGGGGUGAUGAAGGUGCAGCCAACAGUACCCCUCCACUCUCUGAGACCUAGGUCGAGUUUGGACUCCAGCGAAUCACUCACAGUGACUAAUGGACGUUAUCGUGGGUUUCAAAGGAAUACUGGGACACCAAAAUCCUUAAAGACGACGGUAACGGGCAAUGUCACAGUGAACUCCACAUCAAUAAUUAAAAGGCAGAUGGCAUCAACUGCUGCCUUCUCUUGGCUGCUGGUGGAAACACAUUUGUGAGCAACUGCAGCAGAAAUAAAGUGUCCCACCAUCUGACACAAGUGAACCAAAUUUCACUGACUUCGGCCAUAGUGUGAAGUGAAAAUCAAGGGGCUCAUGGGAAGUUUUGAUUGACAUGAGGAGGAAACUUCAGACUUGAAAGGCAACAACAAAGCAACUGGAUGGAUGAAAAAAGACGGAAAGUGGACAUUGUGACUGGCGUGGGUGAGGCCAUAACUAGAACGGUAUGUUUGAGGUUGGACAGCAGCAAGGAUUAGCUAAAUAUCUGCUUGUCACACGAAUCACCACCACAGUAGAGACAUCCUCAUUGGCCAAUGAAAUGUGUCCGUUGUAAUGAGAACUUUAAUCAAAAGCUGUGGAGUUUUAAGGGGUCACAGCUGCCCAGCCCUGUGUUCAUGUGGACCUCCUAGGUUUAAACAGAACGUUAGAGAGGGACAGGGAGCAGCUUAGAGACGCCUGUCCAUCUAAGACCCAUUCACAAGUACCCAGCAUUGUCACCCACUGUGCCCCCCAAAUACUCUUCUGUCCUUUUCAGAAUUGAUGUCAAAGCCUCAAAUAUGCCAAGAGCAUCACACAUAAAUCAGACAUCCCAUUUAUUUAAUUUCACGGAUGCUCCCCCAAAUUCAGACCCCCCAAAAGCCCUUCAUAUUUAUUUACUUAUUUGGCUGACCCCUUUAUCUAAGGCGACUUACAAAUAUCUAAGAUACACUCGGUUCCAUUUCCUUUGUUUUUCCAAAUGAAGCGACUUGCUCAGGGUCACACAGCGUCAGUUGUGGGAUUUGAACCCACAGCCUCAGGAUUCUCAGUCCAAAGUCGUCACCACUGUGUCACACUGCCUGCCACUCCUGACUCGGAGUGGGUAUCGUCACCAUCCUCAAUGGCCACUCACAACUAGCAGCAGUUAGCGGCGCACAUCGGCCACACGGCAGACUUGGUGAUGACGCUGGCCAUAAAUCGAGGCCAAGAGGGAGACGAGCACAAAACACCAGACACAUGAAUCGUUCCAAAGAGCAGCAGAAUAAAGAGCUUGACGAUAAAGCUUGGCCGCACAAAGCCUGAUGUGAUCCUGAUGGCGGGGGGCUGGGGUGGUGGGGGCGCGUGAUGAUAUUCUUAGCAAUUCCGAGCAGUUACAGAUGAGAUAUGGGGACAGCAAAAGGAAAUAAUGAGGCUACAGACCAGACAGAUGCAUGAAUUUGCAAAGCUGACAAAACUGAAAUGCCCCGGGAAGAGCGAGGAGUCGGACAUUAAUGCAGAUUGCAGCUGAGGUGACGCCAGGGGGGUCAGAGGCAAUCAGAAUGGCAAAAGCACCAAGCAGGAGUGAGCCUGAGCACAUAAGCACUUGACCCAUCAAGGGAGGUCAAGCAGUGAGGUGGUGGCCACCAUCAGACAAAGAUUAAGGGAACUGGACGUGGACGACUUUAAUGGAAUGGCACUUAAAGGGGCCAGUGAGCAACUGGGGGGAGUGCAUUGUUGUGGAGGGCGCAUGGCCAAACGUGAACCGCCUUUAUAAGGGAGCUUUGGGGACAACCGAAU
This is a long non-coding RNA of Erpetoichthys calabaricus (reedfish), 4913 nucleotides long. RefSeq lists it as uncharacterized. The transcript has 5 exons. Lineage: Eukaryota; Metazoa; Chordata; Cladistia; Polypteriformes; Polypteridae. The record is from RefSeq and is a predicted model, not a curated record.